This 397-nucleotide ribosomal RNA is filed under the name uncultured bacterium. RNAcentral's name for it is "partial 16S ribosomal RNA". It matches the Rfam family "Bacterial small subunit ribosomal RNA", at positions 523 to 918 of the family's 1533-position model. The record is from RNAcentral.
AUACGUAGGGGGCGAGCGUUGUCCGGAAUGAUUGGGCGUAAAGGGCGCGUAGGCGGCCUGUUAAGUCUGGAGUGAAAGUCCUGUUUUCAAGAUGGGAAUUGCUUUGGAUACUGAUGGGCUUGAGUGCAGGAGAGGUUAUCGGAAUUCCCGGUGUAGCGGUGAAAUGCGUAGAGAUCGGGAGGAACACCAGUGGCGAAGGCGGGUAACUGGACUGCAACUGACGCUGAGGCGCGAAAGUGUGGGGAGCAAACAGGAUUAGAUACCCUGGUAGUCCACACGGUAAACGAUGAAUGCUAGGUGUAAGAGGUAUCGACCCCUUUUGUGCCGGAGUUAACACAAUAAGCAUUCCGCCUGGGGAGUACGGCCGCAAGGUUGAAACUCAAAUGAAUUGACGGGG